GACGAACGCUGGCGGCGUGCCUAAUACAUGCAAGUCGAGCGCAGGAAACUGACGGAACUCUUCGGAGGGAAGGCAGCGGAAUGAGCGGCGGACGGGUGAGUAACACGUAAGGAACCUGCCUCAAGGAUUGGGAUAACUCCGAGAAAUCGGAGCUAAUACCGGAUAGUUCAUCGGACCGCAUGGUCCGCUGAUGAAAGGCGCUCCGGCGUCACCUUGAGAUGGCCUUGCGGUGCAUUAGCUAGUUGGUGGGGUAACGGCCCACCAAGGCGACGAUGCAUCGCCGACCUGGGAGGGUGAUCGGCCACACUGGGACUGAGACACGACCCAGACUCCUACGGGAGGCAGCAGUAGGGAAUCUUCCACAAUGGACGAAAGUCUGAUGGAGCAACGCCGCGUGAGUGAUGAAGGUUUUCGGAUCGUAAAACUCUGUUGUAAGGGAAGAACACGUACGAGAGGGAAUGCUCGUACCUCGACGGUACCUUACGAGAAAGCCACGGCUAACUACGUGCCAGCAGCCGCAGUAA
Molecule: ribosomal RNA, 524 nt
Filed under: uncultured bacterium
Lineage: Bacteria
Description: partial 16S ribosomal RNA
Rfam family: Bacterial small subunit ribosomal RNA
Source: RNAcentral